RNAcentral lists this long non-coding RNA (232 nucleotides) under Setaria italica (foxtail millet). RNAcentral's name for it is "long non-coding RNA (SITA_LNC006044)". The record is from RNAcentral. Lineage: Eukaryota; Viridiplantae; Streptophyta; Magnoliopsida; Poales; Poaceae.
UGAGUGGUUUUCUAAUGGGUGUCGGCUGAUUUGCGGUGUCACCACGUAUUGCCUGGCGCUGGAUAUUGGUACGAGGCAACCGAGAUGAAGCAGGUCAACAACAAAAAGAAAGAACAAUUGGGCGUGAUUGGAUGCUGAAGGACCGAAAAGGCAACCAGAGGGGGGUGAAUGGGAGCCUCAAAUACUUCUUUCAAAAUCUUAGGCCUCUGUCUCAAAAUCAAACCCCAAAUCC